RNAcentral lists this ribosomal RNA (900 nucleotides) under uncultured archaeon. RNAcentral describes it as "bacterial SSU rRNA". It matches the Rfam family "Archaeal small subunit ribosomal RNA", at positions 455 to 1354 of the family's 1478-position model. The record is from RNAcentral.
GUGUCAGCCGCCGCGGUAAAACCAGCACCUCAAGUGGUCAGGAGGUUUAUUGGGCCUAAAGCAUCCGUAGCCUGAUCUAUAAGUUUCCGGUUAAAUCCACAUGCUCAACAUUUGGGCUGCCGGAAAAACUGUAGAUCUAGGGAGUGGGAGAGGUAGACGGUACUCGGUAGGAAGGGGUAAAAUCCUUUGAUCUAUUGAUGACCACCAGUGGCGAAGGCGGUCUACCAGAACACGUUCGACGGUGAGGGAUGAAAGCUGGGGGAGCAAACCGGAUUAGAUACCCGGGUAGUCCCAGCUGUAAACGAUGCAGACCCGGUGAUGCAUUGGCUUGUGGCCAGUGCAGUGCCGCAGGGAAGCCGUUAAGUUUGCCGCCUGGGAAGUACGUACGCAAGUAUGAAACUUAAAGGAAUUGGCGGGGGAGCACCACAAGGGGUGAAGCCUGCGGUUCAAUUGGAGUCAACGCCAGAAAUCUUACCCGGAGAGACAGCAGAAUGAAGGUCAAGCUGAAGACUUUACCAGACAAGCUGAGAGGUGGUGCAUGGCCGUCGCCAGCUCGUGCCGUGAGAUGUCCUGUUAAGUCAGGUAACGAGCGAGACCCUUGCCUCUAGUUGCUACCAUUGCUCUCUGGAGCAGUGGGGCGAAUUAGCGGGACCGCCGCAGUUAAUGCGGAGGAAGGAAAGGGCUACGGCAGGUCAGUAUGCCCCGAAACUCUGGGGCCACACGCGGGCUGCAAUGGUAGCGACAAUGUGUUCCAAACCCUAAAGGGGGAGGUAAUCAUCAAACGCUACCACAGUUAUGACUGAGGGCUGCAACUCGCCCUCACGAAUAUGGAAUCCCUAGUAACUGCGUGUCAUUACCGCGCGGUGAAUACGUCCCUGCUCCUUGUACACACCGCCCGUC